CAGGCUGUCAGGUUUUCCAGAUGGAAGCACUGGCUUGUAGAUGAGUGCAGCUGGACCGUGGAGCCAUGAGCUGAGGCAGCUGUUCCCAGAGUGAGGCUCCUGUGGACCAUCCUGUCACUCUAGCCUGCUCCAGACCUCUCCACCCUUGCUCAGUGCAGGGCAUCAGGCCAUGGCAGAUGGGCGACCUGAUGCCUCGUUCUGCCCCUUCCUUUUAUGUUUAGACACAGCCAGUGUCCAGCAUACAUGUUCCAAUAGAGGUCACAAGAUGGACAGAACAGAUUCUGUGGCAGUAAGGUACCAACGUGUAAACAGCACCUGCAGCCAUGCCAGGCAGGGGUUGAGUCACACACCCCUAAACAAGGAAUAAACUGUUCCGACUGCCACAGGGUUUCUUUUCCUCUAGCAGCUAAAUAAGCACUAUUAACAGUUAUAGCACACCACCAGACACUGAGUAACUGGCCCCCAAGCCCUGUUCCACCAGCCAUAACUAGAGCUCCAACUGGACGGGAGACCGAUUUCAGUAACUCUCUCGCGGGAAGAGAUCACUCGCCAUGGGCUGGCUCUGGCCGGUUUACAGAGGCUGUGCACUUGUGUGCCUUUGUGUCCUGAAAAGACCUUUUGAGGAUAGGGCCUAAUUGUAAUACAUUUAAAUGUUAUGUCUCCACCCCAUGGUGAACAUGGGUCCUAUGUUACAUGUAUGUUUGUUUGGUAUGCAUGCAUCAGGACCAUCCUCGUGAAUAUUCACAGCUCCUCCUGUAACCUGUCGAAGGUUUCUAUUCAGCCAGCCUGUGCAGCGUAAAGCUCCUGUCCCAACUCCCCCUCCUUCCAUGUGCCAGGCUCUGGCCUUGGCAGGAGGCACGCUUCCCAGCCUGCAGGAUGGCCACCUUGCGGGCUAUAAACUUUCAUAAGAAAUCAAGUCUCUGGUUGUGGCAGAAGCUCCUUGGUUUAAUUAGGUCUUAUACCAGGCCUCAGCGACACGAUGUACCCAUGUAACAACCUGCACAUGAAGCCCCUGAACCUAAAAUGAAGUGAAGAAAAAGAGUCUCCUCUUGUUUUCUGAAUGUAUAAAUGUUGUGAUUUUUUUUAAGUUAACAGAGUGAAUGAAAUGCUUCCUUUGUAGAGCAGCAUUUCAGGUCUACGUUAGCUUUCAUUACCCUGUUACUCCAUAACCCUCUGGUUAAUUUCCCUGAAUGUGUGUGUUUACUUGACAGUCAACCCACAGUGGCUGAAGCAGCAGGAAAACACACAGGUGUCUUACCCUUGACCUGGGUCAUACAGCGGCAGGUCUUUUAUCUCAUGUUUGAGAGGUAUCUCUGUGCUGGAGGUUUUCAAACGGGAAUUUGCAUGUGGCUUUUUAAACAUGUUUGCAAUUUCUCUGCUAUUCUCCUCUUUGAGAGGUGGGCGUCUAUGCCUCUUCUCAUGAGGCCAGGCACUAGUGCUCACUUGUCACUGCCAGGUGAUGUGGAGGGGAUGCUGAGAAACUUCCCAAGCUAUGUUUGAAAAGGCCACGAGUCUCUUUCUGGUUUACUCCAGUCACUCACCUGUGGCGCCCUUGGCCGCUCAGUCAAGGCUCUGAAUAUCCUGAGACUGCCCCACUGCUUGGAAGCCCCGGACACCAGAGAGUUUCCUGUAGGUCCUCCAGCCGAGCCCGAUGACCCCGGCAGGCCCGGGAGUGAUGUCCCCCUCUGGAUGAUCCCAACCCCUUGCUGUGGAUUCAGCCCCAGCCGUUGUUGUGUCUUUUGGGGACCUUGUCAGUUGCCUUCCAAGUGCUAAUUCUCAUGACGAGAUAAGAAUGGCUAUGACUGGGUGUUGAUUGAUGAGUCGAACACAUUGAAUCCUGGAGUUUGAGGUUAUCAGAACUCCCCACUUAGAAAAUCAUCCUUUAUAUUUUAGAAAAUCAUCAUUGUAUGUUGAACAUACAAUGCUUCUUUUUUCUUCAUCUCCAGUGCACUGGUCUAGAGAGCGGCAGUUGGACCCCAGAGUGUGGCACGUGUUCCUGUGUUCAUUUGAACAUUCUCUGAUGACCUGUCGCUGAGGUCCUGUGAUGAUGCGUAUCCUGUCUUCCACCCCAACUGCCACUGUGUUUCAACUGUCGCUGGCUGUGUUUCAACUGCCGCUGUGUUGGAACUGCCAGCUAGACUGCUCACCAAAAUGGGAGGCAGCCUCUGCUGCUGUGGUGAAGGUGAAGGCUUCUUCUACCGCCAGAAUUGGCGGUUUCUCUCGCUGGAUUCUUGGGACCUGAUCCAGGCAGCACACUCGACACACUCAGCGAUUCAGCUCUACAGUAUGCACUCUGGGAUCUCCCAUUUGCUAAGGAAGGAUCUUAGCUUUGAGAAAGGUGUCAAGCCUGUGGCAGCAGAGCUUCCUGGGGAGUCCUCAGAGCAAGUCAUUGCCAUUGUCGAAGUGUCUUCUAGGCUUUAUUUUGGGGCCAUUACCUCGAGCACUGUUUCUUGUCUGGUUUCCUAAUGUCAGCAACUGAAGAAAAGACCUGUAUACACAGGACACAGCAUGGUCUGACGCUCACAGUGUUUUCCUUUCUCUCUGCAGAGGGAUUCAGCACUUUGGGCAAGUGGUUGCACAGAGGAUCCCGUGGAAGAAUUCAUAUAUGAAUCAGAUGAGAAUGCCCCAGGACCAUCGUAGGUCAGGCCACCUGCUUUUGUCAAAGAAAAAAGAUAACCCCUAUUUGAAUUAAAAUAUGAGAAUCUGACCAUAUGUAUCAUAGGUGACUUACACAGUGUCCUUGGUAAGGAGAAUUUAGAGUGAGAGUCUGUUCCCCACUGAGGUUUGAUUUAAGAUGGCAGAAGAAAAUGACAUCAUCAGCCACUCAGCAGCUUGAUUCUCUCCUUGGGGCAAAAUCACUUAAUUGCCAAGCAACAUGGACUUACAGGAAACAUCCUCCAAUAAAAACUUAGGUUUUUAGCAUGAUUCGGUAUGUCCUGUUCUUAUUUUGGGUGCUUUUGGGUGGUCUCAUCGUGACAGUCAAUGUCCUGGGUCUUCAGUGUCUAUAAAGUCCCCCUGCAGCCCUCCUGCCCGCUGUCUUGGCAUUGCCUCCAUUCCUGGUCCCCAGGCUGCAGCGUUGAAUCCUGUUGAGCAACCCCACAGGGUUUAGGAAGGGAGCCCGGCUGAGGUCAGAAGAGUUGGCGCCACCCUGCAGGAAGGGUUCCCAGUGACGUCUGGGUCUGCUGUGGCCGCCCCCCUCCGCCCCGGGGCUUUUGCUGCACUGGGGUCUCUGGACAUGCGCACUUGUUGUCUUCCUCCCAGAUACCAACAAGCCCUCUCCCGGCACCUGCAGAAAAAGUGGGGAAAAUCCCCGAAGAGGCAGAAACAUUCAUCCGGAAGGGCCGCCAGCCAGUGGAUUUCCCGGGCCCCUCAGCCCUCUGGAGUGUACGAGUUUUGGAGAAACCUCUUCCUCUGUAUAUGCUUUUGACUUUCCUGGACUGAUGUAAAAAUACUCUUUUCUUUGACCUGUUUAUUUUUAAGACACGAUGUGAUUGUGUCAGCUUAUAUUUUAUUGCUGAAGUAAAUUUUCAAAUGUUUUAUUAGUUUUUUUUGGAUCUUUGUCCGCUCAUUUUGGAGUUUUUGUAAUUUUGAUAGGUGUUCUUUUAUGCUUUGUAUUGUUUUCUUAAUGACUUUUACCUUAGUUUUUAACAAACCCAUAGUACAGUGUUAUACCCAAGCGAGUCAGAGAAAACGCCACACUUUGAGACGAAUUAAGAGUCCAUUAUUGGCCGGGCGCGUGGCUCAAGCCUGUAAUCCCAGCACU
This 3763-nucleotide long non-coding RNA is filed under the name Homo sapiens (human). RNAcentral's name for it is "HSALNT0098431". The record is from RNAcentral. Lineage: Eukaryota; Metazoa; Chordata; Mammalia; Primates; Hominidae.